Molecule: ribosomal RNA, 253 nt
Filed under: uncultured bacterium
Lineage: Bacteria
Description: partial 16S ribosomal RNA
Rfam family: Bacterial small subunit ribosomal RNA
Source: RNAcentral
UACGUAGGGGGCUAGCGUUGUCCGGAAUCAUUGGGCGUAAAGCGCGCGUAGGCGGCCAGAUAAGUCCGGUGUGAAAGUCACAGGCUCAACCUGUGAAUGCCGCUGGAAACUGUCUGGCUAGAGUCCGGAAGGGGCGAGUGGAAUUCCUGGUGUAGCGGUGAAAUGCGCAGAGAUCUGAAGGAACAUCAGUGGCGAAGGCGACUGUCUGGGCUGAUACUGACGCUGAGGUGCGAAAGCGUGGGGAUCAAACAGG